Dipodomys ordii (Ord's kangaroo rat) is the source of this 73-nucleotide non-coding RNA. The record is from Rfam. Lineage: Eukaryota; Metazoa; Chordata; Mammalia; Rodentia; Heteromyidae.
GGGAAUGUGGCUUAGUGGUAGAGUGCUUGCCUAGCAUGCAUGAAGCCCUGGGUUUGAUUCCUCAGUACCUCUU